AACUUGAGAGUUUGAUUCUGGCUCAGAACGAACGCUGGCGGCAUGCCUAACACAUGCAAGUCGAACGAAGUCUUCGGACUUAGUGGCGCACGGGUGCGUAACGCGUGGGAAUCUGCCCUUAGGUACGGAAUAACUCAGGGAAACUUGAGCUAAUACCGUAUGAUGUCUUCGGACCAAAGAUUUAUCGCCUAGGGAUGAGCCCGCGUUGGAUUAGCUAGUUGGUGGGGUAAAGGCCUACCAAGGCGACGAUCCAUAGCUGGUCUGAGAGGAUGAUCAGCCACACUGGGACUGAGACACGGCCCAGACUCCUACGGGAGGCAGCAGUGGGGAAUAUUGGACAAUGGGCG
This 347-nucleotide ribosomal RNA is filed under the name Rhizorhabdus sp. RNAcentral's name for it is "bacterial SSU rRNA". It matches the Rfam family "Bacterial small subunit ribosomal RNA", at positions 1 to 377 of the family's 1533-position model. Lineage: Bacteria; Pseudomonadati; Pseudomonadota; Alphaproteobacteria; Sphingomonadales; Rhizorhabdaceae. The record is from RNAcentral.